This is a long non-coding RNA of Clupea harengus (Atlantic herring), 661 nucleotides long. RefSeq lists it as uncharacterized. The record is from RefSeq and is a predicted model, not a curated record. NCBI's taxonomy places the organism in Eukaryota, Metazoa, Chordata, Actinopteri, Clupeiformes, Clupeidae. The transcript is spliced from 3 exons.
CUUGGCUUGAGUAGGUACUACGGUAUGUAGGCAAUCAGCAACUAAUGAAAAUUCGUAUUUACUCUUAAAUAAGUAGUCCUUGAUAUUUAUGGCUAUAUAUGUGUCAUGGCAAUUUAUGACAAUAUAGCCCCAGUCAUUUAUGUUGGCUAUGAUGAAUCAACGUGGGAAAGUGGUCUUGGUGGACAGUAAGGUGCAACUCAUUUCUUGCCGUAAUUUGGAGCUAAGUCAUUUAGAGCUUUGUGAGUAAGAAGGAGUAGCCUACUUUGACAUCAAUUCUACUUUUGACAGGGAGCCCGUGCAGAGAAGCAAGUACAGUUCACCAAUCUGCAGACAUCGUACACACAUUUUAUGGAUGUACCACAGGCUAACGAAUACCAAGGAUAAUACUCUGCAUCAAUAACUAAAGACCACCAGGGAGGGAGGAAAAGUCCUGCGGUACCCGUGAUGCACACGAAUAUGAAUAUCAACAGGAAGAUCCGGUCGAUGACCAUCGCCACAUACUUCCAUUCUUCUUUCACCUGAAAUGUAGAACAAGUAAGCAUGGAGACAGCGUGGAGUCACUUUAAAAAUGUUGAAAUCUUUUAUCAUUGUGCUAUUGCUAAAUGUAAAACAUAAGGAAAAUUAAAUAAACUCAAAGAAGCAUAGGCCUAUGCUACAUGAA